This 93-nucleotide transfer RNA is filed under the name Thelonectria olida. It matches the Rfam family "tRNA". Rfam says of the family: Transfer RNA (tRNA) molecules are approximately 80 nucleotides in length. Their secondary structure includes four short double-helical elements and three loops (D, anti-codon, and T loops). RNAcentral also lists the same sequence under 1 other name. The record is from Rfam by way of RNAcentral. Lineage: Eukaryota; Fungi; Ascomycota; Sordariomycetes; Hypocreales; Nectriaceae.
GACACUUUGGCCGAGUGGUUAAGGCGAUGCCCUGCUAUCAAGCAUAUCAAGGCAUUGUGUUCGCACGCGCAGGUUCGAAUCCUGCAGGUGUCG